This 1450-nucleotide ribosomal RNA is filed under the name uncultured Bordetella sp. RNAcentral's name for it is "partial 16S-23S ribosomal RNA intergenic spacer". It matches the Rfam family "Bacterial small subunit ribosomal RNA". The record is from RNAcentral. Lineage: Bacteria; Pseudomonadati; Pseudomonadota; Betaproteobacteria; Burkholderiales; Alcaligenaceae.
GGUUUGAUCCUGGCUCAUAGAUUGAACGCUGGCGGGGAUAAGCUUACACAUGCAAGUCGAACGGCAGCACGGACUUCGGUCUGUAUGAGUGGCGAACGGGUGAGUACGUAUCGGAACGUGCUCAGGUAGCGGGGAUAACUACGCGAAAGCGAAGCAUUACCGUACACAUUGUUCUUCGGGGAAAGCGGGGACCUUCGGGCCUCGCAAAACACAGAGCGGCCGAUAUCGGAUUAGCUAGUUGGUGGGGUAACGGUCACCGCGACGAUCCGUAGCUGGUUUGAGAGGACGACCAGCCACACUGGGACCGAGACACGGCCCACCCUACGGGAGGCAGCAGUGGGGAAUUUUGGACAAUGGGGAAACUCCUGAUCCAGCCAUCCCGCGUGUGCGAUGAAGGCCUUCGGGUUGUAAAGCACUUCGGCAGGAAGAAACGGCACGGAUAAUACCCCGUGCAACUGACGGUACCUGCAGAAUAAGCACCGGCUAACUACGCCAGCAGCCGCGGCACAGGUGCAAGUGUUAAUCGGAAUUACUGGGGCGUAAAGCGUGCGCAGGCGGUUCGGAAAGAAAGGAUGUGAAAUCCCAGAGCUUAACUUUGGAACUGCAUUUUUAACUACUUGAGCGAGCGUGUCAGGAGGGAGGUGAAUUCCGCGUGUAGCAGUGAAAUGCGUAGAUAUUUUGAGGAACACCGAUGGCGAAGGCAGCCUCCUGGGAUAACACCGACGCUUCAUGCACGAAAGCGGGGAGCAACAGGAUUAGAUACCCUGGUAGUCCACGCCCUAAACGAUGUCAACUAGUCGUUGGGCCUUCGGGCCUGGUAGCGCAGCUAACGCGUGAAGUUGACCGCCUGGGGAGUACGGUCGCAAGAUUAAAACCUGCCAAAGGACGGGGACCCGCACGCGGUGAUGAUGUGAUUAAUUCGAUGCAACGCGAAAACCUACCUACCCUGACAUACUCCGAAUCCCGAAGAUUUGGGAGUGGUUGCAAGAGAACCGAACACAGGUGCUGCAUGGCUGUCGUCAGCUCGUGUCGCGAGAUGUUGGGUUAAGUCCCGCAACGAGCGCAACCCCGGCUUCGGCUACGAAAGGGCACUCACGAGACUGCCGGUGACAAACCGGGAGGAAGGUGGGGAUGACGUCAAGUCUGCCGGCCCUUAUGGCGGUAGGGCUUCACACGUCAUGUCAAUGGUCGGGACAGAGGUCGCCAACCCGCGAGGGGGAGCCAAUCCCAUGAAACCUGAUCGUAGUCCGGAUCAGCAGUCUGCAACUCGACUGCGUGAAGUCGGAAUCGCUAGUAAUCGCGGAUCAGCAUGUCGCGGUGAAUACGUUCCCUGGCCCUGUACACACCGCCCGUCACACCAUGGGAGUGGAUUUACCAGAAGUGUUAGCCCAACCGUAAGGAGGGCGAUUACCACGGUAGAUUCAUGACUGGGGUAAAUGUAACAAGGUAA